UAGAUAGUUUGCAGAUUGGAGUUUUUUUCGACUUGUCGGAAAAAACAAAAUUCUGAAAUGGAUAACUGUGGUAAUUCUAGAGCUAAUACAUGAAAAAAAUUCGGUGCGAAACUGCGUUUGUUUUAUCGACAAACGUUUGGCUUUGCACGCUUUUAUUAGAGAAAAAAGCCAAUUUUAUUAUUGAUUACGCAAUCGUGUACGAUUUUAGCGAUGAUUCUAAACGUUUUCGUUUUCUAUGGUCGCUAGAACGAUGACAACUGCGUGAGACCAAUACUAAUUAAAAAAUUUUGGUGUUGAAUCUGAAUAACUUGAAUGGAUUCUCUUUGAAAGAGUUUUGUUUCGUUUCGGAAUGAAAUUUGAUUAGAAGAGGAUUUAAAGCAGACCGCAUUAAAAGCUGCAAACAUAACGAUGAGAGCGUUGUUCUACG
This 427-nucleotide ribosomal RNA is filed under the name Caenocholax sp. 11 DPM-2011. RNAcentral describes it as "partial 18S small subunit ribosomal RNA". The record is from RNAcentral. Lineage: Eukaryota; Metazoa; Arthropoda; Insecta; Strepsiptera; Myrmecolacidae.